RNAcentral lists this ribosomal RNA (506 nucleotides) under uncultured bacterium. RNAcentral describes it as "partial 16S ribosomal RNA". It matches the Rfam family "Bacterial small subunit ribosomal RNA", at positions 29 to 523 of the family's 1533-position model. The record is from RNAcentral.
AGUGAACGCUGGCGGUAGGCCUAACACAUGCAAGUCGAACGGCAGCACAGAGGAGCUUGCUCCUUGGGUGGCGAGUGGCGGACGGGUGAGGAAUACAUCGGAAUCUACUCUGUCGUGGGGGAGAACGUAGGGAAACUUACGCUAAUACCGCAUACGACCUACGGGUGAAGGCAGGGGAUCUUCGGACCUUGCGUGAUUGAAUGAGCCGAUGUGGGAUUAGCUAGUUGGCGGGGGAAAGGCCCACCAAGGCGACGAUCCGUAGCUGGUGUGAGAGGAUGAUCAGCCACACCGGAACUGAGACACGGUCCAGACGCCUACGGGAGGCAGCAGUGGGGAAUAUUGGACAAUGGGCGCAAGCCUGAUCCAGCCAUACCGCGUGGGUGAAGAAGGCCUUCGGGUUGUGAAGCCCUUUUGUUGGGAAAGAAAUCCAUCUGGUUAAUACCCGGGUGGGAUGACGGUACCCAAAGAAUAAGCACCGGCUAACUUCGUGCCAGCCGCCGCAGUAA